UGUAAUGAUAGUCCACAAAUUUUAUAUGUCUAAUGUAUACUAGUACUUGCAUUUCUUAAUAUAUCAUUAGUGAGAUAUAAAUGGAUCCAUCUCUUAGAAUUUGUCCGGAUACUAGAUCAUCGAAUAUUUAUUUAUAUAGCAGAUACCGACUUGUUUGGGGCUGAGGCAUAGUUGCUGUUGUAUAGUUUUUCUAAAAUUUGCUCAAGAUCAAUUCGGAGCAUAAAUAUCAACCUAGCUAAUGUUUCUGAAACCAAACAAAACGUAAUACUAACAAGCUAGUUGGAAUAUGCAUCACAAAGACUACUGAUGUUUCUGUAAUAAUAACGCUCUUCUUUUUUAUGGAGUGAAGGAUACACUAAAAUCGCCUCCACCAGAAAACCGGACCAUGAAGAAGGCGUCCAUAACCGCAAUAGUCAUCACCACUUUCUUCUAUCUGUGCUGUAGUUGCUUUGGCUACGCAGCCUUUGGGAACAACACACCAGGGAACCUCUUGACUUUGUAAGUGUCUCAAUUACAAUAAACGUAUCACUUCACUAUGCUCAUUUCGUCCGGUUGUCAGAUAACAUUAUAGCCACUGUAGUGAUGCGGUGCCUAACCUGCAAGAGACAGUGUAUGCAAUUCAAGCUGAAUGGUAUAUGCUUCUGUUAAGUUAUUAAUCCCUCCGACAAUUUUUGCAGGGAAAUUCAGAUAUCAAAUUGUUACCACAAAGGAGGAGAAAAAGCACAUUGCCAGACUGGGAUGACCAUUUUCAUGCUGAUUUUUGGCAUUGUUCAGAUAGCAACGUCGCAGAUACCAGAUUUUCACAACAUGGCGUGGUUGUCUGUUGUCGCUGCAUUAAUGUCAUUUUGUUACGCAACCAUCGGAUUGGGCCUUGGAUUUUCUAAUGUGAUUGGUAAAGCCUUGACUCUUCUCUUUCUCCUUCUUGUUUUUUUCAUCUGAAGUUCCAAAAAUAGAUCGAAGAGUCUUGUGUAUUUUGACCUUAGUCCCCAUUGGUGUUGGAUCUGUAGAAAAUAAGAGUAUCAAGGGAAGCAUUGUUGGAAUACCAACAAGGAGUUCUGCUCAGAAGAUAUGGCUAGUUUUCCAGGCACUCGGAGACAUUGCUUUUGCCUAUCCUUAUUCGAUAAUUCUCCUCGAGAUACAGGUAUUUUGUAAUGAUAGUCCACAAAUUUUAUAUGUCUAAUGUAUACUAGUACUUGCAUUUCUUAAUAUAUCAUUAGUGAGAUAUAAAUGGAUCCAUCUCUUAGAAUUUGUCCGGAUACUAGAUCAUCGAAUAUUUAUUUAUAUAGCAGAUACCGACUUGUUUGGGGCUGAGGCAUAGUUGCUGUUGUAUAGUUUUUCUAAAAUUUGCUCAAGAUCAAUUCGGAGCAUAAAUAUCAACCUAGCUAAUGUUUCUGAAACCAAACAAAACGUAAUACUAACAAGCUAGUUGGAAUAUGCAUCACAAAGACUACUGAUGUUUCUGUAAUAAUAACGCUCUUCUUUUUUAUGGAGUGAAGGAUACACUAAAAUCGCCUCCACCAGAAAACCGGACCAUGAAGAAGGCGUCCAUAACCGCAAUAGUCAUCACCACUUUCUUCUAUCUGUGCUGUAGUUGCUUUGGCUACGCAGCCUUUGGGAACAACACACCAGGGAACCUCUUGACAGGUUUCAACGAGCCGUUUUGGCUUGUUGACUUUGCCAAUGCCUGCAUAGUCCUUCAUCUGGUUGGAGGGUAUCAGGUAGUUACUAAAAUUCAAGUGCUUUUCCUUCCCCCUUUAUACUUUGGUUUAUGAACAAAAUACUCGUUUCCAUAGGUAUACAGCCAGCCAGUAUUUGCAUUUGUGGAAAAAUGGGCAACUCAAAAGUACCCUGAGAACAGAUUCGUGAACAAGUUCUACG
RNAcentral lists this long non-coding RNA (1878 nucleotides) under Capsicum annuum. Its description in RNAcentral is "long non-coding RNA (CANN_LNC012205)". Lineage: Eukaryota; Viridiplantae; Streptophyta; Magnoliopsida; Solanales; Solanaceae. The record is from RNAcentral.